ACAUAACUGAUGCCUCCGCGUAUCGACUUUGUGCGCAUUUUAGCUAUUAUGUGUUCUUUUAAUUAAAAUGAUUCUUUUUAAGAUUCAUCUAUUAAAAAUUUGCUUCGGCAUAAUUUUUUUUGAUGAUCUUGUUACUUUGAGUAAAUUAGAGUGUUCAAAGCAAACAGCUAUAGCAUUUGUGCGUUUGAAUACUACAGCAUGGAAUAACAAAAUUGAACAAGUCAGAAUUUUUUUGUUCUUUUUUCUUAUUUUGGCUUAGUUACGAUUAAUAGGAGUAGCUUGGGGGCAUUUGUAUUCAGAUGUCAGAGGUGAAAUUCUUAGGUUUUCUGGAGACAAACAACUGCGAAAGCAUUUGCCUAAAAUACUUCCAUUAAUCAAGAACGAAAGUUAAGGGAGUGAAGACGAUCAGAUACCGUCGUAAUCUUAACCAUAAACUAUGCCGACUAGGCUUUGGAUGAAAGAUUUUAAAAUAAGAGUUUUUCUUUUCUCUCCGGAGAUUAGAACUCUUAGAUUGCUUCCUUCAGUGCCUUAUGAGAAAUCAAAGUCUUUGGGUUCUGGGGCGAGUAUUCGCGCAAGCGAGAAAGUUAAAAGAAUUGACGGAAGGGCACCACCAGGCGUGGAGCUUGCGGCUUAAUUUGACUCAACACGGGAAAACUCACUAGUUUAAGACAAGAGUAGGAUUGACAGAUUAAUAGCUCUUUCUUGAUUUCUUGGAUGGUGAUGCAUGGCCGUUUUUAGUUCGUGAAUAUGAUUUGUCUGGUUAAUUCCGAUAACGAACGAGAUCUUAACCUGCUAAUUAGCGGCAAAUACGAUAUAUUCUUAUGUAGAAUUGAAUAUAGUGGAUUUGUUAGAUUUUGAAGAAAAUAUUGGAAUUACGUUAAAUGUGAUUCCUUUCCCUUUUCUACUUAAUUUACAUUUCCAUCUAUUUCUUUUUUGCGUAUGAAUGUAUUUGCUUGAUUGUAAAGCUUCUUAGAGGAACGAUGUGUG
RNAcentral lists this ribosomal RNA (987 nucleotides) under Plasmodium knowlesi. RNAcentral describes it as "SSU rRNA". It matches the Rfam family "Eukaryotic small subunit ribosomal RNA", at positions 638 to 1428 of the family's 1831-position model. Lineage: Eukaryota; Apicomplexa; Aconoidasida; Haemosporida; Plasmodiidae. The record is from RNAcentral.